Molecule: long non-coding RNA, 896 nt
Organism: Pezoporus occidentalis (night parrot)
Lineage: Eukaryota; Metazoa; Chordata; Aves; Psittaciformes; Psittacidae
Exons: 2
Source: RefSeq, a predicted model, not a curated record
CCAUGCUGAGUUCAUCCCACUCCAUUCAGAUAUAACUUUUCUUCUUAAAAGGAUGUGCUGUCUUGUCUAAGGACAACAAGAGACAGAAAUGGCAGUAUUACCCUUGGUAACUGAUUUUCAUGGUUUAAUCACUGACAAAUGAAAUGGCGCUUAAUUUUAUAGUUUGAAUUUAUUUUUUCAGUCAUUGAUUUUAUUAUGCCUUUCUUCACUAGAUUAAAGAGCUGUUUUGUGUCUGGUAGUUUCUCCCUGUAAGGCUAAAUGUUUGGACCAAUAGGUCUACAGACUAACUAACCAAUGCAUGAAUGGAUCUAACAAAGAAUUGGCUGUUCUAGCUUCAGCUGAUGCAAGAUCUGGAUCUGGGUUUUCUCAGUAGAGCAUCCCGUAGUAGCCAUUGUCACACCCUCACACCCCCCCAGACCAAGCCCCCUUUGGGCUGCAGCAGCACACGGUGUUGCUGUCACAGUUUGGCACGUGGUUGGCUGGGGAGUGCUGGCUGCCUGGGAGCUGGUCAGAUGCUCAGGGUGCUUGGCAGCCUGGAAUCUUUCUUUUCCUGAAAAAAGCACUGGCCCAGCCAGAAGCAAUUCAUGGGUUGGCCUGGAUCAAAACCACUGAAUAAGCUGGUAGUUUGGGUCAGGAACUUGCACAAUAUUCCAGACUUUUCUAAAAAUACGUAUCAGCAAACUAGCUGUCUCCUCAGCCAACACUUUUGCUGCUCUGUGUAAACUGUCUGCAGUUCCUUGGCUUGCAUGAUUUCUCUACUAUCCACAUAGGCAAUUAAAGCCUUCCUUAAUUAUUAAUAUAAUGAAAAGUACUUCAACAUUUAUAUGUAAUAUAAUAGCUUCUUUCCAAGUAUAAAUCAGAAAUAUUUAUUAAACACUUCACAUAUUUAUAUUUAA